Passer montanus (Eurasian tree sparrow) is the source of this 2072-nucleotide long non-coding RNA. RefSeq lists it as uncharacterized. Lineage: Eukaryota; Metazoa; Chordata; Aves; Passeriformes; Passeridae. The transcript is spliced from 3 exons. The record is from RefSeq and is a predicted model, not a curated record.
CCAGCGCCGUGACGCGCGCGCUUCCGGCCGUGCCCAUAUAUGGCAAGGCGGCGGCGCCGCGCUUCCCGGGCGGCGCGGGGCGGCGGGAAGGGGCCCGAGGGCACCGGGACGGGCACCGGGACGGGCACCGGGACACCGCUCCUGCCCGCCCCGCCCGGCUCCUCGCGGGCUGAGCGGGCGGCCUGGCCGCCGCCGCGCCUCCCCCGGCGCUCCGCUGCCCCGGCGGUGUGAGGCGGCAGGAGAAGGAGCGGGGGUUUCGAGCCGCUGGGCGCUGAGCCCCAGCGGAGCUCGCACGUUCGCAGCCCUCGCUGUCCCUGCCCGGCAGCACCCCCCACCCUGGAAAUCUCCGUAGCCAUCGAGAAUUGAUCCGUGAUGUUGCAGCACAAGAGCAGCCCUACGUUCAUCCUUGAACACCCGCUCUGCUGUUAAUAUUGACAUUUGUCUUUUUGUUACUUUUUGUUACUAUUUUGUUACUAUUUUGUUACAAAAAGUUGACUCUACUACUUUCCGUCAAAAUAGAACAGAAAGCUCGCCAAAAGAGUUAUCAGAGCCAGUGGACAGUCAAAAUAAAAAUGGAUUAUUCAAAGAAGAUAAGGUUCUGGAGAAAAAUUAAAUUAAUAUUUUGCUCUGUGCUCAUUGCAGAGGAACCUAAGAAUAUUCCUGUACUUAUACUUGAUUUUGUGAAAGAUCUAUCGGAGGAUGUGUUUCAAGCUGAAGGUCUGUAGAAAAGGUAGUGAAACAAAUGGCUAAAAUAAAAAGCGUUGCACAAUUGGACUGCAUUAUAUUCAUCCAAGAGUUCUAAGAGAAGUCAAGACUGAAAUAGCUGAGCUGCUUACUAAUGGUUUAUGUGUAACAUUACAUUUAGAAGGGCUUUGAUAACAGAAUCAGGGAAGAUAGUUAAUAUGUCAAUUUAAAAAAAAACCAAACAACAACAACAAAAACACCCAAGAGCCUGAAAAGUUCUGUAGAGCUGCUGAGCAAUGAGCCUGUUCUCUGUACCAGCCAAGUUAGUGAAAACCUCAAAGAGAUGAGCUAGUGGGUGCGGGGAGAAAAUGGGGUCCCAUGAGAGAUGGCAGAGCUUUUCUGAUGAGAACUCCUGGUCUCACACAGUUUGGAGUCCUGUGAGGACUCAGCAAAGCAUGUGGACAAGAGACAUUCAGCUGGUAUUUCCUAAUUGGGUUUCUAAAAAGUAUUCAACAAAAUCUGUGAGCAAAACCUUCUGAAGGAACUGUAGAAUAAGAGAAGUUUCAUGUGGAUAGAUGACACUGCAUUAAAGACCGGUCUCUGUAAGAUGGAACCAAAAUAUUUCUCAGUGCAUUGAGUCAGCAUGCAAAGUUCCACAAGGAUCUGAAUUGGAGCCUGUGGACUGAGAGCAAAGAUCUUUUGCUGAUAAGGUUGUUCUUUGGAGCUGCAUCCGGGAGCCUUUCCAGGCAGAGCCAGGCUGGUGACCCAGUGAGGUGCUGAAGUGAAACCAACAACUCCCAUUCUUCUCCUUUGGAAACAGCGGAUGUCCACAAGGGACCUGGAUAUUAUAUCAACAGGAUAUCAUGGGAAAACAAAAGAAGGCUGUAACCAGCAUGUGGACAAUGUAUCUUUAUCAUUUCCAAUUAAGGAGCUCACAGGAGUUCUGUGGUGUCCUGUCCCCUGCCACCCCGUGGCAUCUUUAGUCUGCACAACAACAGAUUUUCAGCUCUUCUUCACUGAUUAGAUUUGAGCUCUGUUUUUGUACAAAUGUUUUGUAACUUGGUCUGUUGGCUAUGGACAACCAGCUGCAACAUUAAAGGAGUAAUUUUAAUUCUGAUUGCAUCGCAUCUUCCACUUGGUAAGGAUUGAGUGCUUUUUAAAUAGCCCAUCUUGAAUCUUCUCAUGCUCAGGAAGAAGGGAAGAGAAACCAACUCCUAAUAUAGUAUUUAUCUGGUUUUGUUUGCAAAAUUAAAUAUUUGCCCUGAAUAGGUAAUGGUAUUGCAAAGGCCAUAAAAUACAGUAGCAGUGUUAAAGCAUAUCAUCUGAAAGAUACAUGGAAUUCAGAUGUUGUGAGGGUAUUUGGGUUUUUAAAUAAAACAUUAUUUUGA